CCGAGGAGGGAGAAAGGCAGAAGGGAGAGGAGGGCGGAGAGGCCACUGAGGAGUCGUCCGCCAGAGCCCACACCUCCCGACGCCUGGAGGCUGCCCAGAGAUGACGCCACCACCCUGUCACAGCGGCAGAGACAGCAGCGAUGGAGACCUAUAUGGCAGAAUCCCUGCGGCAGGGGCAGAUCCGCCGUUCCACCUCGCUCGCCUCCUCGAGUUUCUUUUUCGUGAGGAAGAAGGAUGGGGGUUUGCGUCCAUGCAUUGACUACAGAGCGUUAAACAAAAUGAUGGUCCGGUACUCAUAUCCUAUGCCCAUGAUGUCCGUGACCGUCUCAUCUACUGGGCCCACACGUCCCCUUCCACGGGUCACCCGGGCAUAGACUGUACUGUGUGCUGCCUUACUGAAAAGUACUGGUGGCCUGGUCUGGCCAAGGAUGUGAGGGCGUACGUGUCCACCUUCCGGCGGGCAAUACCACGAACCUGGUUGUUUUGGACCGGUUUUCAAGGGCCUGCCGGUUCCUUCCCCUCCCCGGUCUCCCGACGGCUCUGCAGACCGCGGAAGCGCUGUUCACCCAUGUCUUCUGGCACUACGGGGUUCCGGAGGACACUGUCUCUGACCGGGGUCCCCAGUUUACAUCUAGGGUUUGGAAGGCCGUUAUGGACCGGUUGGGGGUCUCGGUCAGCCUCACCUCCGGGUUCCACCUCGAAGCUAAUGGGCAGGUGGAGCAUGUGAACCAGGACCUGGGGAGGUUCUUGUGAUCCUAUUGCCAGGACCGGCCGGGGGAGUAGUUGGAGUUCCUGCCCUGGGCAGAGUAUGCCCAGAAUUCGCUCUGCCACUCCUUCACUUCCUUGACCCCCUUUCAAUGUGUCCUAGAGUACCAGCCGGUCUUGGCACCGGGGCAGAGCCAGCACGAGACCGGGGCUCCGGCGGUGGACGAUGGCUCUGCUGAGCUCAAUUUGAGGCGUCGGGGGAGGGGCCCUGCAGUACCUGGUGAAGUGGGAGGGGUAGGGCCCGGAGGAGCAUUGCUGGGUGCCGGCGGUGGAUAUUCUCGAUCCGGAGCUCCUCACCGACUUCCAUCGUCGGCGCCCUAAUCGUCCUGCGCGGUGUCCUCCGGGUCUGCUGCUAGAGCUGCGCGUCGGGGUACUGUAAUGAGGACUCACGUGGGAGACUGAACAUAUUAAUAUACAGUGGGGAGAACAAGUAUUUGAUACACUGCCGAUUUUGCAGGUUUUCCUACUUACAAAGCAUGUAGAAGUCUGUAAUUUUUAU
This is a long non-coding RNA of Esox lucius (northern pike), 1264 nucleotides long. The record is from Ensembl. NCBI's taxonomy places the organism in Eukaryota, Metazoa, Chordata, Actinopteri, Esociformes, Esocidae.